RNAcentral lists this ribosomal RNA (372 nucleotides) under uncultured eukaryote. Its description in RNAcentral is "partial 18S ribosomal RNA". It matches the Rfam family "Eukaryotic small subunit ribosomal RNA", at positions 592 to 976 of the family's 1831-position model. The record is from RNAcentral.
CAAUAGCGUAUAUUAAAGUUGUUGCAGUUAAAAAGCUCGUAGUUGGAUUUCUGGGAGGGUGCCAAUGUCCGCUGAGGCGUGUGCAGCGGCGCCCUUCCAUCCUUCUGUUAACGUUUCAUGGUAUUCAGUUACUGGUUUCGGGCUCAGAUAUUUUACCUUGAGAAAAUUAGAGUGUUUCAGGCAGGCUUGCGCCGGAAUACAUUAGCAUGGAAUAAUAGAAUAGGACUUUAGUCUCUUUGUUGGUUUGAGGGACUAUGGUAAUGAUUAAUAGGGAUAGUUGGGGGCAUUAGUAUUUAAUUGUCAGAGGUGGAAUUCUCAGAUUUGUUAAAGACUAACUUAUGCGAAAGCAUUUGCCAAGGAUGUUUUCAUUAA